GGGCAGGUGGUGCAACUGGAAGACACGUACGGCUUAGGACCGUAUGCCGCAAGGCUUGAGGGUUCGAAUCCCUCCCUGCCCA
Molecule: transfer RNA, 82 nt
Filed under: Candidatus Harrisonbacteria bacterium RIFCSPHIGHO2_01_FULL_44_13
Lineage: Bacteria; Candidatus Harrisoniibacteriota
Also listed under: 1 other name
Description: tRNA-Leu
Rfam family: tRNA
About the family: Transfer RNA (tRNA) molecules are approximately 80 nucleotides in length. Their secondary structure includes four short double-helical elements and three loops (D, anti-codon, and T loops).
Source: RNAcentral